GACGAACGCUGGCGGCGUGCUUAACACAUGCAAGUCGAGCGGUAAGGCCUUUCGGGGUACACGAGCGGCGAACGGGUGAGUAACACGUGGGUGAUCUUCCCUGCACUUCGGGAUAAGCCUGGGAAACUGGGUCUAAUACCGGAUAUGACCUCCUAUCGCAUGGUGGGUGGUGGAAAGAUUUAUCGGUGCAGGAUGGGCCCGCGGCCUAUCAGCUUGUUGGUGGGGUAAUGGCCUACCAAGGCGACGACGGGUAGCCGACCUGAGAGGGUGACCGGCCACACUGGGACUGAGACACGGCCCAGACUCCUACGGGAGGCAGCAGUGGGGAAUAUUGCACAAUGGGCGAAAGCCUGAUGCAGCGACGCCGCGUGCGGGAUGACGGCCUUCGGGUUGUAAACCUCUUUCAGCAGGGACGAAGCGCAAGUGACGGUACCUGCAGAAGAAGCACCGGCUAACUACGUG
RNAcentral lists this ribosomal RNA (462 nucleotides) under uncultured bacterium. RNAcentral's name for it is "partial 16S ribosomal RNA". It matches the Rfam family "Bacterial small subunit ribosomal RNA", at positions 28 to 507 of the family's 1533-position model. The record is from RNAcentral.